GGAAGGGAUAGGAUAUUUUUUUUUGGCAUGUUUUGGGAUGUGAAAUUGUGAAGGGAGGAUAAAAUCCUGUAAGAGUCUAGGAUCACUAGGACUCUUCACCCCACCUCCUUAUAUGUAUAUAAAAGGGGUUUUUAUGAUUUCUUUUAUGUGUGUAAGAUACCAGAAGAGAGAUCUUCAUGUGGUGGAAGUUUGGACAUAGUUCAUGACGUAAAAAAUAGAGAGGGUCCUCUCUCUUGGGGUGUGCACAAAAACUUGAAUUUCAGAUUUUUGGUUGUAAGGGUUUGGAAAGAGAGAAUAAAUUAGAAAAAAAAUAUUUUCUUCUUUAUCUUUCUUUCACCUCUUUAUCUCCUCUAGAAGUUUAUCUUCAAUCUUUGAAAAGAUUUUAGAGAUUUGAAAAAAGAAUCCAGAUUGGCCAAGAAGAAGGUUUCAUGCGAGCUAGCACUCUCUAGAAGACCGAUCAGAUCGGGGCUUCGAGUGGAUUUUUCGUAAAGGCCGGACGUAUGUGUGGCUAUGAGCAACCAGCAAGGAUCCUCUCUACCAUAUUUUUUAGUAGUGA
This 556-nucleotide long non-coding RNA is filed under the name Elaeis guineensis (African oil palm). RNAcentral's name for it is "long non-coding RNA (EGUI_LNC067228)". The record is from RNAcentral. Lineage: Eukaryota; Viridiplantae; Streptophyta; Magnoliopsida; Arecales; Arecaceae.